This 229-nucleotide unclassified non-coding RNA is filed under the name plant metagenome. Its description in RNAcentral is "partial contains small subunit ribosomal RNA, internal transcribed spacer 1, and 5.8S ribosomal RNA". The record is from RNAcentral.
UCUCCGUAGGUGAACCUGCGGAGGGAUCAUUACAGAGUUCAUGCCCUACCGGGUAGAUCUCCCACCCUAUGUUAUUAUUUCUUUGUUGCUUUGGCGGGCCGUUAGGCUCCGGCCCGACUACCGGCCCCGGCUGGUAAGCGCCCGCCAGAGGACCCAAAACCCUGAAUAUUAGUGUCGUCUGAGUACUAUAUAAUAGUUAAAACUUUCAACAACGGAUCUCUUGGUUCUG